CAUUAGGUAACUUAAAGCAAGUGCUGGUCUCUUAAACCACCUUAUAGUAAAAUAGCGCUUACUCCUAAUG
Molecule: transfer RNA, 70 nt
Filed under: Temnoscheila virescens
Lineage: Eukaryota; Metazoa; Arthropoda; Insecta; Coleoptera; Trogossitidae
Description: tRNA-Lys
Source: RNAcentral